AUAUAUAUAUAUAUAUUAUAUAUAUAUAUAUAUAUAUAUAUAUAUAUAUAUAUAUAUAUAUAUAUAUAUAUUAUAAAAUAAUAAUAAUGUGGAUUUCUGUGUAUUCUAUAUGAAAAAAAAAUCCUUUGUCUAUUUUACCCAGUAGAACAAGCGGGUGUAGCAGCCCUUACUCCUCACGACACGACUUCGAUCUCAUUAGCUGUGAAUAUAUAAAACAUAGACAAUAGCAAAGUUAUUAGACUAUUAGCUUAUAGAUGGCAAAUAUGGGUAGGUUAGCUGAAGUGGACAGGUAAACAUCGCCAUUAUUUCCUACACUUCCUCGUUUACGGUCAAGCUUACAUAGAGAGAAUAAAAACACUUGCAGAUAUUAUUUUCACCCCCUUUUCCAGCACGCUCAGUAUAAGCUUAUUCCUAGCUGGUGAAGGAAUUAAAAGCUGAUUUAGUUCUAUUUUUCUUUUUGUUUUCUUUUAUUCAAACGACGCUUAAAUUGCUUUAGAGGUAAACAAAGGGAAGGGAAGAAGAGAGGAGGAGACGGGAAGGGAGGAAAGGAAGGGAAGGGAGUCAGGUAUGUCUGCUUUACCGUGAGACGAAUAAAGAUGAGGAAUAAGAGGAAAGAAAAGAAAUAGUCACGAUUAUUUUUACUUUAGACGAUUAUCCACUUCUCUCUUUUUCUUUUUUUUUACUUCUCGUGUUGUUGUUGUUGUUUGUAUUUAGUUGUACUUCUGACGAGUUGGGCUGCUACUUCCUCUCUUUUUUUUUGUAUAAAUAUAAUAAUAAAAAAAGAAUAAAAUGGACGAACUUUCAAUAGAAUCAUAACAGUGUCAAAAGUAAAACUUAAAAAAAAGUCCCCCAAAAAACUGUGUGAGAGAGAGAGAGAGAGAGUGUUUGAACGGAAUUCUCUCAACGUAUCCGUGAUAGAAGGGUCCAACUACACCCAGUGACGGGAUGUUUGCAAACGGUGGCGUGUAUGUCCUUCUUGACCUCAGCAUUCAAUUAUCUUUGUAUACAUAUAUUUAGAGCAAAAUAUUUGAAACAUGAAUAUAUUAUUAUUAUUAAUAUUAUAGUAGAGCAGAAGUGUGAUAGCGAUGACUGAUGGUGAUGAUGAUGAUGGUGAGGAUGAUGAUGGUGAGGAUGAUGAUGGUGAUGAUGAUGUUGAUGGUGAUGAUGAUGGUGAGGAUGAUAAAAAAAAUCAUAAAGAGAACUGCGCACGACAAAAUAAACAUUGUGAUAUAGGACUUAAUAAAGUGAUUAGUAUAGACCGGGAAGCGCACUGAGAUGCAAACGGUGCGCAGUCUGGAAAGGGAUGGAUGAGUGUACAUACUGAGAGACAUAAGAGAAGAAGUGAGGACUGCGCAAGUUGAGAGAGAGAGAGAGAGAGAGAGAGAGAGAGAGAGAGAGAGAGAGAGAGAGAGAGAGAGAGAGAGAGAGAGAGAGAGAGAGAUAACGUAAAAAAGGUCACAGGAAGCAGAUGAUGACACCAAAGAUGAAUUAUGCCAAUGCAAAAGUACAAUGAAACGUAACAAGUAAACAAACUAAAAACAAAAACAAAAAUAUCUGAAAGGAGACCGAGUACAAGUGAACAUAUAAGUUAUAUAAAAAAAAACACCCGCGGAGGGAGUAAAGAGGAACAGAUACAACUGAAAAUACAAGAUGUAAACAAUGCCUCAGUAGAUGAAUAUUUAGAAACUGGAAAAAAAAUAAAACUAUAAAUUAUCGAUACAAUUACGAACUGACUUAAUAAAAAAAAUAUAACAAUGAUAAAAUUGACCCUAAAGAUAUAUAUUAAUCGGGAAUUAGAUAAAAAAAUAAUUGCUAUUUCAAAUCAAAGUACAGUAGUCAGUUAUCAAAGCCGUAAUGUUGGAGAUGAGAAAUGAUAAGAUGUACAAGAGAAUAUUGCUACGUGUAUGUACAACAAAUGUGAUAAACCUUGACAUGGUACAACUUAGACAUAGAGAGAGAAUGAGAGAGAGAGAGAGAGAGAGAGAGAGAGAGCGAGAGCGAGAGCGAGAGCGAGAGAGAGAGAGAGAGAAUGAAUCUGGUUUAAGUUUACAUCCUGUACAACUUAACCAAAUCCAAAAAACAAAAGAGAAGCGAUGUACGUCAAUGUGAUAUUGUACUAAUGUGGUAUUGUACACAAAUUGGGGUUAUGCAAAGUUGAAGUGAUAAAGAACACGUGUACAAAAGAACAUAGAACAAGUGUGAUAGGAGGUAGGAAAGAUUGACAGCGGGAACACCUGUGAUGAUCAACAGGGUGUAAUAAUCUAAGGUAUAAACGAUAGAAGAAAAACUAAUGUAUAAAGUAUAAAGUACAACUAAUAUGGGUGAUUAGGGAUUGGAACAACUAUACCCAAACAGAAGUAAAGUAGUAAAUGGUACAAAUAGGAAUAAUAAGGAAUAAAAGUAAUCAAUUUAAGGUACAAUUAAUAAGUAAGUUGAAAAGAUGGAAGGAAAAAAAACAGCGUAAAGAAACAGAAAAAAGAGAAAUUGGAGAGAAUUUAAUGUGUUUUUUCCGUGUUUUUGUUCUCUAAUAACUAAUCACAUAAACAACGCUUAAAUAUUAUAAUUAGCUUUAAGUGAGUUACAUAUAUUAUCAGUACCGUUAAAUAUAUCUUUUCUUUUUAUCACUUUUUUUUGCACUUAAUGCUUUCAGCCACAAACACAAACUAACUAAAAACUAAUUGUAUGUUUUUUUUUUGUAUAUAGAAGCAUCUAACAUGUAUUUUCACAUCACAGGUCAAACAUGCAAAAAUUCCAACACCUAAAUUAUACUGGAUCAAUACACGUACAAUUUCUGCCCAAACUCUCAUACGGACCACCAAACACGACUGGCUUACGAAUCAAGUCAUGUUGGUUUAUAUACACUGUACUAACUCUCUAUAUACACACUAACCCCUUAAUUCCCUCAAAACCAUCUAUAAUUACUUCCUAAUUACACAAUCAAUUUUAACUAUCUGUCUCUACUUCUAUAAUGGCAAUAUUAUACCAAUAAUCCGUCAGGUCUUUUACUAAUAAUAAAUACCAAGAUUUUUAUUACAAUUAUCAUUAUGGUAAUAAUUUUCGUGCUGUUGAAGUAGUAAUAAUAAUAUUUUUUUUUUUACAAAUAGUUUAUAAACUUUCUACAUUAAGUGUUCAUAUAUAUGUAUUUUCUUACUUCUUUUUAAUCUUCCAAUGAGUGAGAGUUAUUAACAAAUAAUCUUUUAAUGGCAAAUAAUUUUUUAUAUAUAAUUUUCUGAGUUGUGAACGCAAGUACUUUUUUCAGUGAGUAAAUAAUUUCUUCCACAAGUAAAUAAUUUCCCCCCAAAAGUAAAUAGUUUCCCCCACUACUAAAUCAUUUCACCAACAAGCAAAUAAUUUCUUCUAUUAAUCACCUUGACCAUAUUUUUAAGGCUGAUUUCGUUUCUUCAAUUUCUAACAUUUUGUCUUGUAGUUUAAAGGGAAAAAAUAUUGUGAUCCUUAUUGCUCUGUGACUCCCCUAUGCUAUAGUUAAGUGUGGCCCAGACGUGCAGAGGCCGGAGCUCGUGUGCGCUGUUCUCAUGAUAUUAUAACCAAUUGUAACUAAAAAACAAAAUAAGUAUAGCCUGAAUUAUAGCCAAAACAUAGCCUGAAUUAUAGCCAAAACAUAGCCUGAAUUAUAGCCAACACAUAGCCUGACUUAUAGCCAAAACAUAACCUGAAGACGUAACACUGAUUGCAGCCAUUAUAGCUGAUUAUAGCCUAAAAUACAUCUGAAAACACAUCUGAGUGUAGCCAAAAUAUAGGCCAAGUCAUAACACCUCAAAAAAUAGCCCAAAAUAGGAUAAUUAUAGCAGAAGGCAGCCAAGUAUCGAACAAAGUCGAGUAUAAUUGAGAUGAAUAAUGAAGUAUAAUGGAGGAAUAAACGAAGGUGGAUAACAGGAAGAAGAGAAUUAGAUGAAACAAGUGAAGAACGAAAGAGAAAAGAAAAGGAAAAAAGAAACAGAUACAUCAAGGUACAGCAAUACAUAACAAUAAUAAACAUAGACAAGAUUUAUUUCUGAAAAGCUGUAGAAAAAAAAAUAAGCACAUGAGAAAACUUUUAUUUUGUAAUCCUGAAAAUCACGAAAACAAUCACCACAAUGUUUAUAGCAAGGCAUAUUAUAAGUAUUUUUUUUUCUUCUUAUAUCGUGAGGGUAAGAAUACAAACUCUCUGAGGGGCGUAUUUUAUGUAUAAUGAAUCUGUACUUAGUGUGUAUAAUUAUUGUAGCCUUUACGGUGGCUGGGUUACUGAUGCGCGACCUGUAGAACUGCUGAAGCGAGAGACUAUUGGACGAGUACAUUUAUUUUUUUAUCAGUGAUCACCAGGAGGUGUUUCCUAGUCACGGUGUGUGUAUGAGUGUGUGUAGCUGGACACUUGUUGUGACAUCUGUUAGUGAAGCUGCUUAUUGGGUCAGAGGAGGUCAUUGUAGGAAGUUGAGUGAAAAGACUUUGACAACACUCACAUCUUGACGCAACUUUUCACUAUAGACGUAACAGUCAGACUACUGAUGAAUAUUAUGCAAAGACAAUCUGUUAACAUGACUUACCACAUUAUCUUCCUUCGAUACAUUAGAGUUCCUAGACAACCAGCUCUGAGAGAUACGACUCGAUGGGCUGUACGACUCAACUAGUACGGCACAACUAGUAUACUACGAUUCCACCAAUAUGACUCAACAGUACGACUCGACCGAUACGACUCAACAGUACGACUCAACCAGUACGACUGAACAGUACGACUCAACUAGUAGGACUUAACUGGUAUAGUACGAAUUAACCAGUACGACUCGACCAACUCACGUUCUAUGCCAUCCACAUUAGAGAAACAUUACAGUACACCCGACCCACCAUACGACGAGAUUGACCUUAAAACCAUACUAGUCAUAAUACUCGAGACAUUUACCCCUUUAUCUGGUAACACUAACCUAAAAAAAAAAAAAUACAGUACACGAAAAACACGUAUUUUUUUUUCACUUUAACAACUAAAUAAACAUGUUUUUUUUUCCCCCCUCCCAUAAAUGACACAACUCACUCAAGGAUUUUUUUUUUUAAUUUAAUAGACAUAUUUUAGAUAAGUCUUUCUAACUUCACAUACUAUCUGAUCAAAUUUGACCCGUGUGAUCUUUCAACAUUCUCCCGACGUUGAUCUUCACAACAACAGAAGUAUUUAGGGUCAGUGUACGGACUAAGGCAUGGACAAGAUGGUAAUUUCUUCGACGUUGUAUAGUUAGGGAUUUUAAGAUGUUUCUCAUUGUGACGUGUUUGGAAAUGUGUGUGUAUGUGUGUGCGUGUGUGUGUGUGAUAUCAGGUCAUGAGGAGGGUCACAAACUAGUCCUUUUGGGGUGAUUGAUUGACUGUUCAUCACCUGUUUUAUUUGCGUUUGUGUUGGGUGAUUCUGACGGCUUUAGCUGGUAAUAAAAAUUGAGGAAAGUGAACAUCGAAGAUCAAUUCCAAAUACAAAUAAAAAGUGACUGAUUCUUUUGGAAAAUAUGUAGGUGUUGGAGGAGGUUAUAGGUUGGGUCAAUAUGGUGCUUCUCAAUAUUCUGUAAGAUGUCUGACAAUUUCUUUGGGAAUCUCUGGUAUUGCUGGAUAAACUGCUGACUCAUGAUGACUUGCGAAAUCAAUGAGAAUUAAAGUAUUUUCAUAUUGUUACAAAAUAUACAAAUAGAUCUUAUGUUACCAGUAAUUAUUUAUAUCCAAAGUUUAUAAAGGAAAAUUAAUUUAAAGGAUAACCUACCAAUUGUAAAUAGUUUUGAAUGAUAUAUAAGAUAUAUUUUUAACUCAACAUUCAUACGAUGAAUGACUUUUAACGGAUCGACUUCCAGCAGUACCAAAGAUGCUCCUCGAAAUCUCUCAAGGUUUAGUCUGUAAUACGUAAGAUAAUGUUGUGUUGACUGACACUGAACUACCAGACCUAACACUAAAACUACAGUUAAACAGCCAAGCGCAGUUCUCUCUCUUCUUGUAAUCUCCGGAAGUGAAAAUUCAUAGUACAAAACGAUUUUAUUCAAUUUAAGAUUACAGUGUUUGUAAGAGUCUACCUUAGAGCAUCAACUUGAAGAACAAACGGCAGAGAUCAUUGUGUUAUGUGAGGGAAAAAAUACAAUUAAUAAUUUUAAAUUGUUAAAGAAUUUUUCUCUCAUUGUUUAAUUUAGUUCAUCAAAGUCAAUCCAGUAAAUUAAAUCCCGAUUUUUUGUGUUCAUAUAAAAUUUUAGUGCAAAUAAAAUUCACAUUUAUUUAUUUAUUUUUUUGUGACAAAUUAAUUUCACUUCUGGAGAAUUUUGAGAGUAGCUCUGGAUGAUGGGGUAUUUUGAACCUUAUGAAGAAGUCCAAUAGGGUCUGUAUCCAAGUGUUGUUAACAGAAUAUAACCAAGCAAAGUAUGUUUUAGGAAUGUUGUUGUUAAAUUUAACCUUUGAUUUAAAUAAUGUAUUGUAUUAUUUUGUCAGUACCAUGCCACUGAGACUUGUUAUUUAGAUGAGGAAAACCAACCUUACUGGGGGUGUCUGCAUGAGGUUGAGAACUUCCUGUCAUGCUCAUUAAAUGUCCCUGUGUUGGACGUGGGAUUAGGCACUGUCUGAGUGGCACUGUCUGAUUGGCACUGUCUGAUUGGACUUGUGUGACUGAGUGGCCCUGCGACAGAAAAAGAACAAGAAGAAAACACCAACUGGACUACAAGCUGAGUAAGGGUUAGAGAGUGUACGUCUCCCCACAACCUUACCUGUACUGUGUGACAAUUUACCUUGGCGAUCGUUUCCACAAGUGUACAGUAAAAUGGUAAUGUUUUUUAUCUGUAGAACCAAUAAGACAAUAAGUAAUUAAUUGUAAUGGAAUGACAAUGGAACUGAUUUCAGAGGAAAUUUUGAUGACAUCCUCAUAAAGGUAAAAUGUUGUUUGUUAGUAAGAAUACAUAAAUUUUUGCAUGUAUUUGUAGGUGUGUAAAUGAACUAAAUUUGUAUUUGUCAUAACCUGAGGCGAUCCUUUAAAAGACAUUGUCCUUCCAGAUUCAAAAUAUUUGAUAAAAGGUUCUGCCUCUAAGUUCCUGUUCGCUGAUAGAGCCAAUGAGAACGAAUUUUAUGUAAAAAACAAAAAUUCUUUGCCCUGAUUGGUUCUCUUUGUAAGUGUGCUUGUGUUCAGGAGAGGCGCUUGAGUCCGUCGAUGCACUUUUCCUGCUGGCCUGGCCUGGCUGGACGUGUUAUGUUGAACUUCAGACUAGAUGGAAGCCGUUGACACACUUUUAGUCGACAACAAAGUGUGUCUGCGGCUUCAGUCAAAGUGUGAGUGUGAGAUGAAGCAGCAGCUGUGACCCCACCAUCAGGUUCAGGGGAGACUGGAGUGGAAGAGUGUGGAGGUGACGAGGACGAGUUGAGGAGAAUGUGAAGACAGAGUGAAUGGUGAGAGGAGUGUGAAGGGAGAGUGAGAGUUGUAAGAGGAGUGUGGAGAUAGUAAGUGUGGUAAGAACAACUUGUUGAGGAGGAGAGUUGAGGCAGUGUGAGCGUAGGUGGGAGCAGAGAUGGACUCAAACGUGUCUCCUGGGUGCACGCCCUCAGUGUGCUUGUAUAUACGGCAUAGACCAAGGAGACCUGGCGAGGCGGGGGGUGUCGGCAGUCAACCUCCCUUAACAACUUACCACCACAACCACAACAUACUGGCUGGCACCAGAUCACAACUCAAUAAGCUGAAGCAACCACUUAAUACCUAAUAAUAUAUUUUAUGAUUUACACCUCCAAAAAGACUUAGUACAAACACGAACACCCAAGUAUACGUUGCUCGUUCUACACAUGAACAUCUUGUCACAUUUUCGUCAAAUACAAAUAAAAACGGCCAAACAAACUACUAUUUUCACCAGCCUACAACCCCUCGUAGUAUCUCUCAAUUCAACUUAAUUUCUACGUUUAAUUUAGCUUUAAUAAGUAAGUCAAUAAUUAGAUAUUCUUGUCCUUACAACACCUCCCCCCAGUACCUAUCACAAGCUAUUCGACACCCACAAACACCUACAUAUACCACGUCAGCAUAACCAGAGUUCACCCUGACGGCCAAUAUUAUAAUCAGUCCAUUUGCAGAAUAACAACAAACAGAUGAAAUACAUAAUAUAUUAAAAAACAAAAACAAAUCCCAUAACUACAGAUCAUCACGAGACAGAGAAAAAAGGUUUCUCUGUCAGGCUCUGAUGUUAUUCACUAAAGUUUAUCCAGACGCUGACCGAGGCCUCCCCUACCCGCCCAGGCUCUACAAGGUGUGCUAAGAGUACUUCUGUACCUGACUCUAUGUUAAGCACCGACGCAACUCCUGUGCUCUUAAAACUCUCGACUCUUCUUAUUUUCUUCCCUAAGUUUCUCAAACCCAACAAAGAUCUGUUUCAACUUACUUUACUUUACUUUACUUAUUUACUUACUUAUUGUCUUCAUCUCCUUUGAUUUUUUUUCUUUUAUCAUAUCAGUAAAUGUCAUUCGAAAUCCUCUUUUGUUCUCUUAUGUAAACAGUAUCUUUCUAAGCCUUCUGAUUUAAUUUUUAAGAGCACUUGAUGCAUUAUUUGUUUUUUCUAUUUUGAUGGACAUAAGGAUAUAACUAUAAGUAACCAGCCUAGAGAGCACGGGAUCGGAGUCAAUGCGUGGUGAUGUGGUUUGUUAUACCAAUCUGAUAGCUGGGUAAGGGUUCCAACCGUGUACAGUACUUCUCGGGCACCUGAUCAACCAUUAUGAGCAUUCGGUACACCUUGACUGAGAUACAUCUUCACUUCUCGUAGUUUCCCAUCAAUAUGUUACGACCGAUCAUAGUCUUUUUUUUUGCCUUAUCUGUCCUUCACGUCGGCCAGAAAACAGAUGUCUACUAUAUCUGACUGUCUGAACUUCGUGUAGGAUAUCCAAAACAAACAAACCAAAUUAAACACAAAGCAAAAACAAAACGAAAGGAAAAAUAAAAUAGUAACAAAACAGAAGAAUCAAAUCCUCAUAAGGGAUGAUCACGUCGCCUAAUAAUUGUGUAGAAACCUUUGCAUCAAUUCCUGAUUCUGUCUACUUUUUGGAAGCUCACUGUAAACUAGAGAAAGGGCGUUGCCUAUUAAUUUUGUAAUAUGACCGCAUCCUACUUUAGGUAGAUCAUGAGACGACUCCAGGGCGUGAGAGAGACCGUGGCGUGUGUGUGGCUCCCUCAAACGGAAUCUUGUAUCGGAUAUUCAUUGCCCUGUCGCAAAGUUCACUUUUUUUUUUUUUGAGUGUGUGUGUUUGAAAAUUUCUAGGAAAGGUAUGGUCUAUGGUGUAUUAAAACAAAAAGGGAGUUUUGAAGCGUGUGUCUUUUUUGUGUAUAAUAAAGAUGAAAAUCAUAGUGAAUGUAAAACAUAAGCACUCCUUCAUUUUCUUAGUUUUAUUAGGUAUAUUAAAGUGUCAUUGAGUGAGAAAUUCAUGUUUAUUAUUUUGAAUGUAAUUUGUUCAUUGUUGUUGGAGUGUGGGUGGCUUUUUUUAAUAUAUACUGUACACACACACCAGAGCCGAAUUAUUUAAUGACUGGUGCUAUACUAAAUUUGUAUCAUGUCUACGUUAUGUGAAUUAUAUGAAAUUUGACCGUUUUCAUCAGUGGCUGUAACUUGGAGUCAUUUAUAAUGUAGGUUAUAUGUGUGCUUAUAAUGUUAUAAUCAAACUAGUAAGGAUUUGUAAGGCAGAAGUAGAGAUGGAGCAAAGAUUGUAAGUGGUUGUGUUGACUCUGUAAGUCCUGGACACCGAUGUGAACCAGAGAAUGAUCCAACACUCACAGCCUCCACAUACUACAACAUUCAUCCCUCAACAACAUAUCACAACAUGAAUUGGAUCUUUCCAUUAAAACAAAAAAAAACGACAAAAAACAGUCAGUUUCCUCACUCGAUAAAGAAGUCAUUCUUUUUAUAAUAUAAACCAACAAAAAAUAUAGAAAAAAUAGCAAAAUCUAAGAAUAACUCAAAUUCCCCCCAAAAGAGUAACUUAGCCCCCCCAACGAAAAUCUUUCUUCACUUCUGAUCGACUUAUCAUUCUCUGGUUCUGUAUUAUCCGCAACACGUUUUCUCCCCUUAAACAUCUCUUUUUUCCUUAAUGAAGCUGAAAGCCUGGCAGGGGUAGACCCAACCUCCUCGGGAGAAUGAAGAGACUUGGCACCCCCAGAGGGAAGCGGGGAUCGGAAAAAUCAACCAACUCAAAAUUUGUCUUGAAACAACAUUGCAGAUUUAUACUUCUUUUCUCUCCUUCGGGAUAAUCCCCAAAAGAGCCGUGUCAGCAACAGCAUCAGCCACUGGAGAUAACAUGAUCUCUCUAGGUGCAGCAGUGUCCUCACCUCACCAGCGUGUUUGUGUGUGAGGCUGCUGGUUGUCUUAUUACUAGGGAGAGACUGCCUAUAGUCUUCAGUCCUGGUGUUGUGGUCGACAUGGCUACUCACACUUUCUCUUAACCUGGGUUAGACCAGACCAGGAUUCCUUGUGUCACCAAAGGUUGACAAUAUCAUUCAUCACAGCUGAGACAACAUCACUCAUCACACACACACAUCUUCUCGCUUCUUGUGAUCUUAAUGUUCACUCAAUCAACAACUUACAGUACAUAUUCAGAAUUUUUACUGUUCAAGAUGUCAUGUUUUUUUUUUCAUUAUCUUUUGUAACACACACACACACACACACACACACACACACACACACACAGUCACUCAAGUAACAUAGACAUUGGUACACUCAUUCACUGUUACUCUUAAGUCACAGUUAUACUCACUGUUACACUCAAUCAUUGUUAAAGUCAUUCAUUGUUAUACUCAUACACAGUCACAGUCUCUCACUGUUACAUCCAAUUACAGUUACACUCAGUCACACAUAUACUCAGUCACUCUUACACUCAGUCAUUUCAACACUCGGUCAAAUAUCUUCCAAGUUAGAAAGACCAUUUGUCAACCUCUUCAACAUUCUGCUACACAAGAAUUUCUGGUCCGGUCAAAGAUGUGUUUUACCCACAUUAACAUCACCAAGGAACACCUAAUAAGCCUUACACUAAGCCCAUUAAAAUCAGCUUCACAACAACUUAUUAAAUGAAAAAAAAACAACAACAACAACAGACAAAGAACUGCAACAACCUCGGUUAUCCAUUCACCAAUCAGAACACUGGAGAAAAAAGAUGGUUCCUGCUUCCUUCUGGAUAUAUAAAAUAAGAAAAAUAACCAUAAAAAAAUAUUAAAAAGCACCUAUAAUACUGUCUGUCAUAAAAAAUAUAUAUAUAUAUUAAUAUAUAUCUCCAUAAAAUAAUAAAAAUUUACAAUUGAAAUAACUUUUAAAGAUCUUUCCAAAAUUCGAUCGUCUUUACUUUAUUUUUUUUUGUAACUUGCAAAAUAUUUUAGGUCAACGUACUGUACUGUAUGUCCAAAAUUCUGAUGAUCCACUGCUGCGAGUCUCAACACAGAUUCCGUGUUUAUAUGAAUAAAAAGAUACACAAACG
RNAcentral lists this long non-coding RNA (11427 nucleotides) under Homarus americanus (American lobster). RNAcentral's name for it is "uncharacterized LOC121858432". The record is from RNAcentral. Lineage: Eukaryota; Metazoa; Arthropoda; Malacostraca; Decapoda; Nephropidae.